RNAcentral lists this ribosomal RNA (584 nucleotides) under uncultured bacterium. RNAcentral describes it as "partial 16S ribosomal RNA". It matches the Rfam family "Bacterial small subunit ribosomal RNA", at positions 355 to 1375 of the family's 1533-position model. The record is from RNAcentral.
UGGGGAAUUUUGGACAAUGGGCGAAAGCCUGAUCCAGCAAUGCCGCGUGUGUGAAGAAGGCCUUCGGGUUGUAAAGCACUUUUGUCCGGAAAGAAAUCCUUGGCUCUAAUACAGUCGGGGGAUGACGGUACCGGAAGAAUAAGCACCGGCUAACUACGUGCCAGCAGCCGCGGUAAUACGUAGGGUGCAAGCGUUAAUCGGAAUUACUGGGCGUAAAGCGUGCGCAGGCGGUUUGCUAAGACCGAUGUGAAAUCCCCGGGCUCAACCUGGGAACUGCAUUGGUGACUGGCAGGCUAGAGUAUGGCAGAGGAGGGUAGAAUUCCACGUGUAGCAGUGAAAUGCGUAGAGAUGUGGAGGAAUACCGAUGGCGAAGGCAGCCCCCUGGGCCAAUACUGACGCUCAUGCACGAAAGCGUGGGGAGCAAACAGGAUUAGAUACCCUGGUAGUCCACGCCCUAAACGAUGUCAACUAGUUGUUGGGGAUUCAUUUCCUUAGUAACGUAGCUAAUGCGUGAAGUUGACCGCUGGGGAGUACGGUCGCAAGAUUAAAACUCAAAUGAAUUGACGGGGUCAUAGCUGUUUCCU